RNAcentral lists this ribosomal RNA (181 nucleotides) under uncultured bacterium. RNAcentral's name for it is "partial 16S ribosomal RNA". It matches the Rfam family "Bacterial small subunit ribosomal RNA", at positions 1319 to 1500 of the family's 1533-position model. The record is from RNAcentral.
CAUGAAGUCGGAAUUGCUAGUAAUGGCGGGUCAGCAUACUGCCGUGAAUACGUUCCCGGGCCUUGUACACACCGCCCGUCACACCAUGAGAGUUGGAGAUACCCGAAGCCUAUGAGCUAACUUUUAGAGGCAGUAGUCGAAGGUAGAAUCAAUGAUUGGGGUGAAGUCGUAACAAGGUAAC